This 472-nucleotide ribosomal RNA is filed under the name uncultured bacterium. Its description in RNAcentral is "bacterial SSU rRNA". It matches the Rfam family "Bacterial small subunit ribosomal RNA", at positions 9 to 526 of the family's 1533-position model. The record is from RNAcentral.
GGGUUCGAUUAUGGCUCAGAACGUACGCUGGCGGCACGCCUAACACAUGCAAGUCGAACGAAGUAGCAAUACUUAGUGGCAGACGGGUGAGUAACAUGUAGGUAUCUACCCUUUGGCCUGGAAUAACACGAGGAAACUUGUGCUAAUACCGGAUAAGUCUUUACGGAGAAAGCUUUAUGCACCAUUGGAUGAGCCUGCACUUGAUUAGUUUGUUGGUGGGGUAAUGGCCUACCAAGACUGUGAUCAAUAGCUGAUUUGAGAGGAUGAUCAGCCACAUUGGGACUGAGACACGGCCCAAACUCCUACGGGAGGCAGCAGUGGGGAAUCUUGCACAAUGGAGGAAACUCUGAUGCAGCGAUGCCGCGUGAGUGAAGAAGGCCCUUGGGUUGUAAAGCUCUUUCGUCGGGGAAGAAAAUGACUGUACCCGAAUAAGAAGGUCCGGCUAACUUCGUGCCAGCCGCCGCGGUAAUAC